GUGCAUGAUCGCUUGCCGGAGGAUGUGGUCUGCUUUUACUUUUUUCGAUAAUAAUAAAUUAAACAAAAUCUUAAGUUUUCCGAUUGCACCGUGGUAAAUUUUAACGACACAGAGUCUAAGAUCUUUCAUCAUCCGAUUCAAAAUGCUAUCUUGGCGAAAAACAUCAAAUUUUUUACAUAAUGUUGUUGCAGAAAAUAACUCUUGGAACCGAAAGGAAAAAACCCUUUUAUAGCCUAUUCAGAUUACGCCAUUAAUGACAUAAUAAUUGGCGUUUCAGGGUAAAUACGCUUUAUGAUGUCAUUAUUUACGUAAUAUUCCAUACAUUUUGCGCUGUCAAAAGAUACCCACUAAAAAGAAUUUAUUACGAACAAUUAUUACGAGAGAGCUUUCGUUCUAACUGGAAUGCAGGGAGAAAUUCAACAAAACAAAACUGACAAGCGUCACGCUCUCUUUGCCAGAGAGAAAAUUCUCUCUGUUUUCGUUUCGUUCCGUAGUUGACAGUCAUGCUCUUUCUGUCGCAGCAGGGUCGAAUGCAUGUUAGAUGGAAAUCUUCUGAGCGCUGAAGAAUAACUCGGAUUGUGAUGGUUUUGUGGAAAGCAUUUUAAUGAUGAAAAAUAAUGAUGAUAAUUAUUUAUUCUCCACUUAUUCAAUAUGAAUUGUUUAAAAAACAGAUGCUCUCUAGAAUUAACAUGAAGUAUUUAACUUAAACCUAG
Armigeres subalbatus is the source of this 713-nucleotide long non-coding RNA. RefSeq lists it as uncharacterized. The record is from RefSeq and is a predicted model, not a curated record. Lineage: Eukaryota; Metazoa; Arthropoda; Insecta; Diptera; Culicidae. The transcript is spliced from 3 exons.